CAGCAGCCACGGUAACACGUAGGUGGCAAGCGUUGUCCGGAAUUAUUGGGCGUAAAGCGCGCGCAGGCGGAUCAGUUAGUCUGUCUUAAAAGUUCGGGGCUUAACCCCGUGAGGGGAUGGAAACUGCUGAUCUAGAGUAUCGGAGAGGAAAGUGGAAUUCCUAGUGUAGCGGUGAAAUGCGUAGAUAUUAGGAAGAACACCAGUGGCGAAGGCGACUUUCUGGACGAAAACUGACGCUGAGGCGCGAAAGCCAGGGGAGCGAACGGGAUUAGAUACCCGAGUAGUCCCUGUCUCUUAUACA
RNAcentral lists this ribosomal RNA (301 nucleotides) under uncultured bacterium. Its description in RNAcentral is "partial 16S ribosomal RNA". It matches the Rfam family "Bacterial small subunit ribosomal RNA", at positions 509 to 809 of the family's 1533-position model. The record is from RNAcentral.